RNAcentral lists this ribosomal RNA (252 nucleotides) under uncultured bacterium. Its description in RNAcentral is "partial 16S ribosomal RNA". It matches the Rfam family "Bacterial small subunit ribosomal RNA", at positions 524 to 776 of the family's 1533-position model. The record is from RNAcentral.
UACGUAGGGGGCAAGCGUUACCCGGAAUUAUUGGGCGUAAAGAGUACGUAGGUGGCAACCUAAGCGCAGGGUUUAAGGCAAUGGCUCAACCAUUGUUCGCCCUGCGAACUGGGAUGCUUGAGUGCAGGAGAGGAAAGCGGAAUUCCUAGUGUAGCGGUGAAAUGCGUAGAUAUUAGGAGGAACACCAGUGGCGAAGGCGGCUUUCUGGACUGUAACUGACACUGAGGUACGAAAGCGUGGGGAGCAAACAGG